RNAcentral lists this unclassified non-coding RNA (1177 nucleotides) under Hevea brasiliensis (rubber tree). The record is from RNAcentral. Lineage: Eukaryota; Viridiplantae; Streptophyta; Magnoliopsida; Malpighiales; Euphorbiaceae.
UUUUUUUUUUUUUUUUUUUCUUGGGUAUGUGAUGGCUGCUUCAUUGCUCAAUGGAGCUGAGAAUCUCAAAUUCAGUAGUGGUAUAACACCAUCAAGGCUAGGCUAUGUAGGGUCAGAUUUCCAUAUUAGUUGCUUACCCAAGAAAAAUUUAUUAUUCUACAAUAGGAAUACCCAAAGCUCCAGAAUCUUAGCUCCUAGUUGCAGUAUGUCAUCAUCAAGGCCUGCUUCACUGCCUAGGUUCAUACAACACAAGAAAGAGGCAUUUUGGUUCUAUAGGUUCUUGUCUAUUGUGUAUGAUCAUGUCAUAAACCCUGGUCAUUGGACUGAGGAUAUGAGAGAUGAGGCACUUGAGCCAGCUGAUCUUAACAAUAGGGGUAUGACAGUGGUAGAUGUUGGUGGUGGUACUGGGUUUACUACUUUGGGUAUUGUUAAGCAUGUGGAUGCCAAGAAUAUCACAAUUCUUGACCAGUCACCUCACCAGCUUGCAAAGGCUAAGCAGAAGGAGCCCUUGAAGGAAUGCAAGAUAAUUGAAGGAGAUGCAGAGGAUCUUCCUUUUCCUACGGACUAUGCGCAUAGAUAUGUGUCUGCUGGGAGGUAAUAGGCAGUCACUGUAAUGCUGUUCUUCAACCUCUAUUUUGAAUUUUGUUUCAAUGCUAGAUUUCUUUGGGGAUAAAUUCUCUACAAUGUCAUUGGGAAUUUAUAGUAAAUUUCCCCCUUAAUCCAAUUGUUAAUACUUAAUAGGCUUUAGCUGAAUGAGAUUAUUCAUACUAAAUUUGGGAUACAUGACUAAAAGAAGUUGAAUAUGCUAGUGCCAUAAAAAUCAUAAAUUUUUAAGGGUUCUCAAUACCAAACGUGAUAUUAUCUUCCAUAUCUUAGUUUCUAAAUAAUGGGAUUCUAAUUCCUCAAAAAGCUGUCAAUUCUAUUGCUAAUUGCUCAAUAUGGCAUUUCUCUAUAUUAUCAAAUACUGUGAUUAUGUUCCUCAGCAUUGAGUACUGGCCGGAUCCACUGCGCGGCAUCAAGGAAGCAUACAGGGUACUGAAAAUAGGAGGAAAAGCCUGUAUUAUAGGUCCUGUGUACCCAACCUUUUGGCUGUCUCGCUUUUUUGCUGAUAUGUGGAUGCUCUUCCCUAAGGAAGAAGAGUACAUUGAAUGGGUUGAAAAGGCUGGGUUUAAGGAUG